ACGAAACCGAAACAGCCAACCCUAGAAUCGCUCGUUCCCUGUCCCUCCUCCUGUGUGCGGCGCCGCCGCUGCGCACAGGCCACAUCUCCUCGCCCUCCUCCACAUCUCCGGCCAAGGCGCUCACUUCUUCGGCCCUCCUCCACAUCUCCUCGCCUCCACCCCAUCCACUUCCUGUCCAAGACUGUGGCAACGGAGCUCGGCGGCUGCGGCCCUUCUCCAAGACUGCAGCGUGGUGCUCGGCGACUGCGGCAACGGAGCUGAUGGAGCGCGAGCCGACCAGUUCAACUGAGGCAGUAGCAUGGGGCAGCGGCAGCAACAUGGAGGGCGUCCGCUUGACUGGAAAGAGAAAGUAUUUGUUGAUAGUGAGAGUGAGGAUAAUGAUGGGGUGAGUGAGGAUGGGGAAGAUGCUCCAUCCAUGCAUGAUCAGCAAGAGGCGCAAAUGCAAGUGGAAAAAGAGACACAAAUUCAAGUGGAAAAGGACGCACCACCAACAGAUGGCAAUUUGGAGACAUGUAGAUCUGUACGGCUUGUCAAGAAGAAGACCAAGGGCGUCAACAGCCUAUACCCCGCUGCUUAGAAAUCUGCUGGCAAGUAUCUUCUUUCUAGUGUUUUAUGAUUCAUGAUAAUUGCUUAGAAAAUUUUAGUUACUUGGAGCUGCUAGUUUCUUAGAUGUAUAAACUUUCUAUCCAUGCCUAGCCUUCGUUGUCAUGUUAAGCAAUGUAUUUAUGUUAUCCUGAAAUGUUACCACUUGACUAUUGUUGCACUAGACACCUCCCUGUUAGUCCAUUUUAUUUCAUUAUGCAUAAAGUGGAAGAAGAAAAUUCUGAUGUUGAACUACAUCAAUCCUGAUCCUUUCUUUGUUUUCUCUAUAUGAACUAGAAAUGCCACAUGAAGAACUAAGGAUAUCAAGAAGCUUUUGGAUGUAUGCAAGCUUGGAGCUGUUGUUUUAUAGAAAUGGCACUUGAAGAAUAACCAAGGAUAUCAAGAAGCUUUUGGAUGUAGGCAAGCUUGGAGCUGCUGUUUCAAUGUCAUGCUUUGAUAGUUGUCUUUUGGAGCUGUUGUUUCUAUGUGUAAUACUUUAAGUCUGUUGGCUGUACCGGACUAUUUAAACUCUGAACUAUGCUGUGAUGGUUGAACUGAUGUUGGACUGUUAAGGGUUAUGUUGGAGGCCACUUUAUAACUAAUGUGUGCCUGUUAUGUUGGACAGAUGCAGUUUUAUUAAUCCCUGAAGCUUAUUUGC
RNAcentral lists this ribosomal RNA (1240 nucleotides) under Triticum aestivum (bread wheat). Its description in RNAcentral is "partial small subunit ribosomal RNA". Lineage: Eukaryota; Viridiplantae; Streptophyta; Magnoliopsida; Poales; Poaceae. The record is from RNAcentral.